Acinonyx jubatus (cheetah) is the source of this 354-nucleotide long non-coding RNA. RefSeq lists it as uncharacterized. The transcript has 2 exons. The record is from RefSeq and is a predicted model, not a curated record. NCBI's taxonomy places the organism in Eukaryota, Metazoa, Chordata, Mammalia, Carnivora, Felidae.
CUGCAGAUAACUACACUCUAGAACCGAAGGAGGAGUUUAGAGCCUGCUUCCAGGCUGUGGAGCGACUCAGUGAGGAUGAGAGCUACAUCCUGUCCUGCCAGCUGGAGCCCCAAUCCUAGCUGACCAGUGAAACUCAAGAACAAGAAGAAUUGGCCACAAUCAAGCUCAGGACUGAGUGAAUGUCCAGUGAUAGUGCAACCUUUCCUCAGCAGCUUGGACACUUGCUGUGAUGAACCCCAUCUCCUUGACACUUCUUCCUCCCAUCUAUUUACCUACUUGGAGUGGCAAUAUUUAUCUUAAAUAGUAAAAGCUAGAUUUGAAUAUUAUUAUAUUAAAGCCUUCUUUUAUAGCCCA